Molecule: non-coding RNA, 1809 nt
Organism: Camellia sinensis
Lineage: Eukaryota; Viridiplantae; Streptophyta; Magnoliopsida; Ericales; Theaceae
Source: RefSeq, a predicted model, not a curated record
AAGUGCACUUAUUUAUUUAUUUAUUAUAAGUUGUCACAUCAUUUUUUUAUUUUUCUAUAUUAAGUGUAUCUAAAAAUUUUAAAAAUAAGAAUGGACUAUAUUUGUUUUUCAUUUACGUUUUGUUUUUCAUUUGUAAAGACUUCUACAUGAUGCAAUUGGGUGCCAUGUUUUUACUUUAAGGAGAAAUUGUGCCUAUUUUUGGUGUUGUUCAUUAAUAUAAGACAUUAAGGUUUAGUGGAUUAGGUGGAUGCUUUUAGGAAAAAUAUUUGGUAGGUUAAGACCUAAAAUUAUCAUUGUAAUAGUUACAGUACAAGCCAAGGCAUUUGCUUCAGGAUAUUUUUUCUGACUAGGGGUUAAUUUCAUCAUAAUAUGUUACGGUGUAUGACAUGACGAUGGAAAUGAAUAGUAGUAUUUUGUCUUUAUGGUAAUAUUAGAAGUAAACUGAAGUACUCACCUCUUUUUCCCUUGUUUGGCCAUGGGAUGACAAAAAAAAACCUCAUUUAUCUGCAAUUGAAAUGCUUGGUAGUUAGGGGGUCUUAGUUCUCAGUUGUUUGGUGUGUUGUGAGGGUGUGUGAACACCGUGUUCAACGUAUGGCUUCCCUGGCUGGAUCUGUUUCUUAGUCUUAAGUUUAUGUGUAUAACAGACACCUUUUUUAUAUAUAUUUUUAUUUUAUAAGUUAUCACUGUCUUAUUUUUGUAGGAAGUAGUUUUGUUUUUCCUUGUUUACAGGUUUAUUUGUGGAACACCUUUGAGAUCUAGUUUUUUAAUGGCUCAUUUAUUGGCAUGAUUAAUUUAGUUCAGAUGUAUUUUCAACAUAAAAAAAAAAGAGAAUAUUUUCAAAUGUUUUGAUGUUUAACAUUUUCUUGUGGUAUUGUGUUAUGCUUCUAGGGAAAUAGUCUCCAGCAAGUUCUGGUUGUUGCUGCUUUUGCGGUGUCUGGAUAUGCUUCAUCUGAAGGUUAUUCACCACCCAACAGUUGUUGCCUGCCAUUGCGAAGGAAAAGGCUGGAAAUUCUAGGGUGACAGUAACCUUAGAACCAAAUUUUGGGGGACAUCAAUUCAGCUUGACCUUAUUGGAACUCCAGGAGCUUCAUGAUGGUGAGGUUUUUCAGUGGAGCAGCAAGGUCACAACAUCCAUUUGUAAUCUUAUCCUUGGUAAAGUGUACCUUAAUCACCAUGGGACAAUGCACAUACGUGGCAAUCGCCAAUAUUCAUGCAAACUCAAGUUCAAAGAGCAGUCUAUUCUUGACUGAAAUUUGCACCAGUCACUGGUUUUGUACCAUGCUGCUCAAACUUUUUGAGGGGGAAAGUCUAUAGAUAGAUUACAUGCAUCAUAGGCUUUAUGUGAGAUCUUACAUUUCAAGACAUACCAAACCAAACUAAGCCUUGUGUCCCGAGAUGAGUGGAGAGGUACUUUAUUUCUCAUUUAACAUAAAAUUGAACUUAUAACCAAUUGUUGUCCACAUUAUUUCUUAUUUUUCCUUGUGUAUUGCACAGAGUUCAAAAAAAGCUGAGAAAAGAAUUAGGAAGGAGUGUGAAGCUAUAAUUGCUGUGACAAUGGAUGAAAGAAGAAAUGCAUCAUUCAGAAUUUCAGAUGAGUGUUCUACUUCUCUACAUGUUGAAUCAUAUGAUAUGGAAGGAGUUGUAGACUCCACUCAAGUACCAAAGAAGAGAACUAGGGGGGCAUCAAAGUUAAAUAUACAUGACAAAGGAAAACAAAAGUGAUAAAAUUGAUUUACGAUUUGUAGUUAUACUUUUUGGUUGUUUAAAGUCGUAUUUUAGAGAUUAGUGAAUCUUAUGAUUUUGAUACUU